RNAcentral lists this ribosomal RNA (513 nucleotides) under uncultured bacterium. Its description in RNAcentral is "partial 16S ribosomal RNA". It matches the Rfam family "Bacterial small subunit ribosomal RNA", at positions 28 to 523 of the family's 1533-position model. The record is from RNAcentral.
GAUGAGCGCUGGCGGCGUGCCUAAUACAUGCAAGUCGAACGCACAGCGGAAGGUGCUUGCACCUUUCAAGUGAGUGGCGAACGGGUGAGUAACACGUGGACAACCUGCCUCAAGGCUGGGGAUAACAUUUGGAAACAGAUGCUAAUACCGAAUAAAACUCAGUGUCGCAUGACACAAAGUUAAAAGGCGCUUUGGCGUCACCUAGAGAUGGAUCCGCGGUGCAUUAGUUAGUUGGUGGGGUAAAGGCCUACCAAGACAAUGAUGCAUAGCCGAGUUGAGAGACUGAUCGGCCACAUUGGGACUGAGACACGGCCCAAACUCCUACGGGAGGCUGCAGUAGGGAAUCUUCCACAAUGGGCGAAAGCCUGAUGGAGCAACGCCGCGUGUGUGAUGAAGGCUUUCGGGUCGUAAAGCACUGUUGUAUGGGAAGAACAGCUAGAAUAGGGAAUGAUUUUAGUUUGACGGUACCAUACCAGAAAGGGACGGCUAAAUACGUGCCAGCAGCCGCAGUAA